Long non-coding RNA from Cyclopterus lumpus (lumpfish), 1403 nucleotides. RefSeq lists it as uncharacterized. The transcript is spliced from 3 exons. The record is from RefSeq and is a predicted model, not a curated record. NCBI's taxonomy places the organism in Eukaryota, Metazoa, Chordata, Actinopteri, Perciformes, Cyclopteridae.
CCUCCAGUCUAAUGAAAACACGGUUUGGGGGUCGAACCCCCGAGUCCGCACGGUGCAGCCGGUCUCUGUUGGUUCUGCUGCACGGAACAUAAAGGCUGAGAAAUAUUUUACAGUUCGAGAAGCCUUUUUAAAGCAGAAGGUGUGCAGGAUGUCAGUCGGUGUCUCUAGCGUCCAGAUGAAGACCUUUUCAUCAGGUACAGGUCCAGAUGAAGACCUUUUCAUCAGGUACAGGUCCAGAUGAAGACCCUUUCAUAGGGUACAGGUCCAGAUGAAGACCUUUUCAUCAGGUACAGGUCCAGGUGAAGUCCUUUUCAUCAGGUACGGGUCCAUAUGAAGACCUUUUCAUCAGGUACGGGUCCAUAUGAAGACCUUUUCAUAGGGUAGAGGUCCAUGGUCCAUAUGAAGACCUUUUCAUCAGGUACAGGUCCAUAUGAAGACCUUUUCAUCAGGUACAGGUCCAGAUGAAGACCUUUUCAUAGGGUACAGGUCCAUAUGAAGACCUUUUCAUCAGGUACAGGUCCAGAUGAAGACCUUUUCAUCAGGUACAGGUCCAUAUGAAGACCUUUUCAUCAGGUACAGGUCCAGAUGAAGACCUUUUCUUAGGGUACAGGUCCAUAUGAAGACCUUUUCAUCAGGUACAGGUUCAGAUGAAGACCUUUUCAUAGGGUACAGGUCCAGAUGAAGACCUUUUCAUCGGGUACAGGUCCAGAUGAAGACCUUUUCAUAGGGUACAGGUCCAGAUGAAGACCUUUUCAUCAGGUCCAGAUGAAGACCUUUUCAUCAGGUACAGGUCCAGAUGAAGACCUUUUCAUCAGGUCCAGAUGAAGACCUUUUCAUCAGGUACAGGUCCAGAUGAAGACCUUUUCAUAGGGUAGAGGUCCAUAUGAAGACCUUUUCAUAGGGUACAGGUCCAGAUGAAGACCUUUUCAUAGGGUACAGGUCCAGAUGAAGACCUUUUCAUCAGGUACAGGUCCAUAUGAAGACCUUUUCAUCAGGUCCAUAUGAAGACCUUUUCAUCAGGUACAGGUCCAGAUGAAGACCUUUUCUUAGGGUACAGGUCCAUAUGAAGACCUUUUCAUCAGGUACAGGUUCAGAUGAAGACCUUUUCAUAGGGUACAGGUCCAGAUGAAGACCUUUUCAUCGGGUACAGGUCCAGAUGAAGACCUUUUCAUAGGGUACAGGUCCAGAUGAAGACCUUUUCAUCAGGUCCAGAUGAAGACCUUUUCAUCAGGUACAGGUCCAGAUGAAGACCUUUUCAUAGGGUAGAGGUCCAGAUGAAGACCUUUUCAUAGGGUACAGGUCCAGAUGAAGACCUUUUCAUAGGGUACAGGUCCAGAUGAAGACAAAGGUAUACAUGUCGUUGUUUGUGAGCUCGUCUUUGUUGACACGAGACGUUCUGCGUC